UACGUAGGGUGCAAGCGUUGUCCGGAAUUAUUGGGCGUAAAGAGCUCGUAGGCGGUUUGUCGCGUCAGCUGUGAAAACCUGGGGCUCAACCCCGGGCCUGCAGCCGAUACGGGCAGACUAGAAUUCGGUAGGGGAGACUGGAAUUCCUGGUGUAGCGGUGAAAUGCGCAGAUAUCAGGAGGAACACCGGUGGCGAAGGCGGGUCUCUGGGCCGAUAUUGACGCUGAGGAGCGAAAGCGUGGGGAGCAAACAGG
RNAcentral lists this ribosomal RNA (253 nucleotides) under uncultured bacterium. RNAcentral's name for it is "partial 16S ribosomal RNA". It matches the Rfam family "Bacterial small subunit ribosomal RNA", at positions 524 to 776 of the family's 1533-position model. The record is from RNAcentral.